GAUCAGGGCUCAGGACGAACGCUGGCGGCGUGCCUAAUACAUGCAAGUUGAACGCUGAAGACUGGUACUUGUACUAGUUGGAUGAGUAGCGAACGGGUGAGUAACGCGUGGGUAACCUACCUCUUAGCGGGGGACAACUAUUGGAAACGAUAGCUAAUACCGCAUAACAAUCACUAACACAUGUUAGUGAUUUGAAAGCACCAAUUGGUGCACUAAGAGAUGGACCCGCGUUGUAUUAGCUAGUUGG
This 247-nucleotide ribosomal RNA is filed under the name uncultured bacterium. RNAcentral describes it as "partial 16S ribosomal RNA". It matches the Rfam family "Bacterial small subunit ribosomal RNA", at positions 15 to 252 of the family's 1533-position model. The record is from RNAcentral.